Molecule: unclassified non-coding RNA, 1426 nt
Filed under: Daphnia magna
Lineage: Eukaryota; Metazoa; Arthropoda; Branchiopoda; Diplostraca; Daphniidae
Description: e3 ubiquitin-protein ligase parkin, transcript variant X5
Source: RNAcentral
AAUGUGCGGAGCCUUUUAUUUAGAUGUUUAGUCGAAAUAAUGUUGAUCGAAUUCGACGACAGACGACGUGUUCUAUUGUUGUCACGUAACCAGUUUAUUUACUUACCACUAUACCGGCAUUUGCUGUCUGACUCGAGUGAAUUUACUCUGCCUGUUUACAUAAAAGCUGCGGGGGGAAAAACGUUUCUUAUUCAGAUGAGUCGGGAUUGGGACGUGGCUCGGAUCAAGAAGUUUAUUGCUCCAAAACUUGGCCUGCAAGUCAAAGACAUCAGCAUUAUCCUUGCUGGUAAAAGUCUUGCUGACAAUCUUCUACUAGAGGAAUGUGAUCUUGGUCACAAUAGCAUUCUUAAUGCCGUAAAACUUAAGGUGAUAAAAAAAGAUGAUGCAAUACCUUCCAAUGAAAAGAAGUCGGAAGGCACACCAUUUCACCAGGAUAAGCCUUUGUGUGAAACAUUGCUUGACCUACAAUUGACAGAAGAAGAACAAAAGUUGCUGCACAAAUCACUUGGCUGCAGCUCUCCUGAAUAUAAACAGAAGAAGGCUCAUUUCUAUGUUUAUUGUGAAUCUCCCUGCAAAUCAGUCCAGAAUGGUAAACUUCGGGUCCGUUGUAGCCUUUGCAAAGCCGGUGCCUUCACGGUGGACCGAGAUCCGUGCUGUUGGGAUGAUGUCUUGCGACCCGAGCAAGUAAGCGGCACUUGCCAAAUGGAAGGUUGUGAUCAUUCGUGGGCCGAAUUCUACUUCAAGUGCGCACACCAUCCUUCGCAAGGAGAGAUGGAUUCUACCCUUCCACUCUAUCUGGUCAAAUCGAAUUUCAAACAGGUCCAAUGUCUGGCCUGUAUGGAUAUUAGUGAUCCUGUGUUGGUCUUUCAGUGUUCCAGUUCCCAUGUGAUAUGUUUAGAAUGCUUUCAACAAUACUGUAUGUCUCGGUUGAACGAGAGACGCUUUGUUUUCAAUCCAAAUAUCGGUUACACUCUACCCUGCCCAGCUGGAUGCGAAAACUCACUGAUUGAUGGAACCCAACAUUUCAAAAUUCUUGGAGGUGAGCAGUACCAGCGGCUUCUGCACUUUGGGGCAGAGGAAUACGUUAUGUCGGUAGGUGGUGUGCUUUGUCCGCAACCCGGAUGUGGCAUGGGAUUACUUGCAGACCCUUCCUGUAGACGGAUUCAGUGCACAGGAGGAUGUGAGGUUAUCAUAUUGACGAAUGUCAACCGAAUGGAGAUGGUAAUUUUCAAUCCAUGCUGACAACCACAGAGUAUGUUGUUGAUCCUAGGCGAGCUGCACAGGCGAUGUGGGAUGCAGACAGUCGCGUUACUAUACGUGUCACUUCAAAACCAUGUCCCAAAUGCCGAACGCCAACUGAACGCGAUGGAGGUUGUAUGCAUAUGAUUUGUACUCGCCAACAGUGCGGGUUUCAUUGGUGCUGGGU